RNAcentral lists this ribosomal RNA (484 nucleotides) under uncultured bacterium. RNAcentral's name for it is "partial 16S ribosomal RNA". It matches the Rfam family "Bacterial small subunit ribosomal RNA", at positions 30 to 507 of the family's 1533-position model. The record is from RNAcentral.
AUUGGACGCUGGCGGCAGGCCUAACACAUGCAAGUCGAGCGGAUGAAGGGAGCUUGCUCCUGGAUUCAGCGGCGGACGGGUGAGUAAUGCCUAGGAAUCUGCCUGGUAGUGGGGGAUAACGUCCGGAAACGGGCGCUAAUACCGCAUACGUCCUGAGGGAGAAAGUGGGGGAUCUUCGGACCUCACGCUAUCAGAUGAGCCUAGGUCGGAUUAGCUAGUUGGUGGGGUAAAGGCCUACCAAGGCGACGAUCCGUAACUGGUCUGAGAGGAUGAUCAGUCACACUGGAACUGAGACACGGUCCAGACUCCUACGGGAGGCAGCAGUGGGGAAUAUUGGACAAUGGGCGAAAGCCUGGUCCAGCCAUGCCGCGUGUGUGAAGAAGGUCUUCGGAUUGUAAAGCACUUUAAGUUGGGAGGAAGGGCAGUAAGUUAAUACCUUGCUGUUUUGACGUUACCAACAGAAUAAGCACCGGCUAACUUCGUG